AUUGAACGCUGGCGGCAGGCCUAACACAUGCAAGUCGAGCGGAGCGGCGGACGGGUGAGUAAUGCCUAGGAAUCUGCCUGGUAGUGGGGGAUAACGUCCGGAAACGGGCGCUAAUACCGCAUACUAUCAGAUGAGCCUAGGUCGGAUUAGCUAGUUGGUGGGGUAAAGGCCUACCAAGGCGACGAUCCGUAACUGGUCUGAGAGGAUGACCAGCCACACUGGAACUGAGACACGGGCCAGACUCCUACGGGAGGCAGCAGUGGGGAAGAGUGCACAAGGGGCGCAAGCCUGAGGCAGCCAUGCCGCGGGUAUGAAGAAGGCCUUCGGGUUGUAAAGUACUUUCAGCGGGGAGGCGUUACCCGCAGAAGAAGCACCGGCUAACUCCGUGCCAGCAGCCGCGGUAAUUC
This 407-nucleotide ribosomal RNA is filed under the name uncultured bacterium. Its description in RNAcentral is "partial 16S ribosomal RNA". It matches the Rfam family "Bacterial small subunit ribosomal RNA", at positions 29 to 526 of the family's 1533-position model. The record is from RNAcentral.